Molecule: long non-coding RNA, 1026 nt
Filed under: Sinocyclocheilus anshuiensis
Lineage: Eukaryota; Metazoa; Chordata; Actinopteri; Cypriniformes; Cyprinidae
Description: lncRNA (ENSSANG00000022806.1)
Source: RNAcentral
GGUUUAAAGAGAUUUGAGUACGGCCCAAAUAUGGUAUGGGGUAAUGUUCCUCCAUGGAUAUUUCCAGUUCCCAAUGUAGACUUGAAACUUUUAGAACUAAAGAAAGAAUGGACUGAAAGGAACGCUGAUAAUAUUGGAUAUUUGGUUCAGGAAUAUGUUAAGCAGAACUACUAUCAGUAUAUACCAAUAUUCACUGAUGGAUCUAAAGAUUCAAGGAAUGAUCAUGUAGGAGUAGGAGUGUACAUACCAGAGUUUGAUGUAACCAUAUGCAAAAGAAUUAAUGACAAAUUAUCUGUAUUUACAGCUGAAGUAGUAGCCAUAAUUUUAGGAUUGCAAUGGGUAGAAGAAGUAAGACCUCAAAGAGUUAUUAUCUGUUCGGACUCUGUUGCAGCUCUUAAUAGUUUGAAUUCAACUGAAACAAUAAGAGAGGAUUUAUAUAAAGAGAUAUCCAUGAUAAUGUUAAAUAUAGAGAGAAUUGGAAUUAAUCUUCAGUUUUGUUGGGUUCCAGCUCAUACUGGCGUGGAGGGCAAUGAGAUAGCAGAUUUGACUGCAAAGAAUGCACUGAAAUUAAAGGACGAGGAAAUAAUGAAAGUCCCAUUUGGUAAAGGUGAGGCCAAAUCAUUAAUUAAAACAAAAGUGAGAGAAUCAUGGCAGAAAAAGUGGGACAUAGAUAACAAAGGGCGAUAUUAUUAUAAUAUUCAGAAAUCGAUUAACGUCAAGGCUUUUAAAGGGAAAUGCAGAAGAGAAGAAGUGAUUAUAUCAAGAUUAAGACUUGGACAUACUGGUUUAAAAUCAACCCUGUUUUUAAUGGGAAAAUGCAUAUCAGAUAAUUGUGAUGACUGUAAUGUUCCAGAAAAUGUGGAGCAUAUCAUUAUGAGGUGUAAAAAAUAUAAUGCAGAAAGGAGGAUCUUGCAAGAUAAGAUAUAUGAGUUGGAACAAGAAUGGAGUUUGAAGGGGAUUUUGGGGGCAGAUGAGAAAAUGUGGGAAUGUAGCAAGGCUCUCUUUAAUUUUCUUAAAGAUACAGGG